Molecule: long non-coding RNA, 693 nt
Organism: Entelurus aequoreus (snake pipefish)
Lineage: Eukaryota; Metazoa; Chordata; Actinopteri; Syngnathiformes; Syngnathidae
Exons: 3
Source: RefSeq, a predicted model, not a curated record
CCAUUGAUAAUGGGAGAAAGAUGUGAUGUAAUUUACUGGCACUCUUGAGCUCCGAGAGACGCCGAAGAGGAGCGAGCCUCCUUCCCCCGCGUGACGAUCCAGUGUGGCACCAUGUCGAGGAGGCUGGCAAUGGGAUAAGGCACGUCCGAACAUGCUGCUUCUUCUCCGGCUCCUUCCAAAAUGUGUCCCCCGACGGUGCGUUUGUGAGCCACUCGGAUGCGUGUCCUACAUUUAGAGCGCACUUGGUCAUGAACUGAGAACCAUCUCCAGAGCAAAUGUCAGACGCCAUGUUGUAGAGAGGAUCGUCGGGAUUCUCGUGGACGACAAACACAGGAACAAAAUGGUUGUCGUGCCUGGGGGAAUGGUAAUAGGUGUCCAAAAGGGAAGUUCUUGAACGUCUUACAGCUGGCCCCGAAGUCAAACACCUCUUGUGGAUCACUGUAGUCUGCCAGCUGCUGACCGAUGUCGACAACGAGGUCGUCUGUGGCGUCGCCGUUCAUGUUUCCCAACAAUCCCUCCGUGGAGUUUCGGAAUUCUUCGGGUAGGAGCACGGAAACGGCGAGAGUUCCCUCUCUGAGCCGCACCUCAACGCCGGCGCCGCUGGGGAACAUGACGGUCACGUUUGUAGCCACAGGAGAAAACACAAACACCCCUGGAAGAGAUAUUUGGAGAACAUAAAAGUGGUUUAAAUCA